AUGAGUAACACAACCUUCUCUAUAUGCUCGUGGAAUGUACGCGGUCUCGGUGAUCAGGACAAAUGCUCCGACAUCCUCUCGGAACUAAUCUCAAUCAAACCACAUAUCGCCCUUCUUCAAGAAUCCAAACUUGAAAUGCUACCGACCAGAAGCUACGGUCAUUCAUGCCGCCACCUUGAUCAAGUUUUCUCCUUACCAGCUGUAGGCUCUGCGGGCGGAACCAUCUCUGCCGUUAACCCUGCCUUCUUUCAAGUAAUCUCCUUCUCACACCUCUCCUUCUCCUCAACCCUGAUCUUGCGAUCUACGAUAAACGACCGUAACAUAGCCAUCACUAACAUUUACGCUCCCUCCUCAUGCGCUCUCAAGCAACAAUUCCUCGAUGAAUUAUUACUUAUUGCCCAACCAGAUGACUCACCCUGGCUUCUCGUUGGUGACUUCAACCUCCUCCGGUUCCCCUCAGACAAAAACAAUGCGGCUUUUAGACAGGCAGAUGCCAACGCCUUUAACCAAACUAUUGAUGAACUGGCACUCAUCGAGCUACCGCUUCUCAACCGACAAUUCACAUGGUCUAACAAUAGGAACACACCCACCCUCGAACGCAUUGACCGCGCCUUCUUUAAUCUAGAUUGGGCAAAUGCCUUCCCCAACUCCUCCCUCACAUCUCGCGCGCUUCAUGUCAGAUCAGGUUCCCCUCAUCAUUAA
This 702-nucleotide ribosomal RNA is filed under the name Triticum aestivum (bread wheat). Its description in RNAcentral is "partial small subunit ribosomal RNA". Lineage: Eukaryota; Viridiplantae; Streptophyta; Magnoliopsida; Poales; Poaceae. The record is from RNAcentral.